Molecule: long non-coding RNA, 1442 nt
Filed under: Numida meleagris (helmeted guineafowl)
Lineage: Eukaryota; Metazoa; Chordata; Aves; Galliformes; Numididae
Description: lncRNA (ENSNMEG00000005505.1)
Source: RNAcentral
AAAGCUUUCUGCAGCACAGAGCUUUCAAAUUCAAGCAGUAAGGCCUUGUCACAGCCAACACUCCCCUCACUGGAUGACGGCUGUGCUUCCAGAGCAGAUCAACCCGAGGUGAGGAACUCCCGGCACUGCAGGCACUCCUCAGCACGGGCAAGGCCCCAGCCGAGCCCAGCCCCACUCCUGCCGUGCCUGAGACCCCAGGAGAGAAAGCACAACUUUUUUUUUUUUUACUCUGGAUGCAUUAACUCUUCCCACGUUGCCUUCUGGACCAGGUUCUGCAGAAAGUACCCCGGCGUGGCUCUGCGUUGGGUAUUACGCUGUUUGCAGCUGAAGGGUGUUCCCUGCGGCUGCUCCCGUCCCGUCUGGGCGGCGGUUUCCCCGCUCCCCUCACGCAGAGGAGAGGUUUCUGUCUGUGGAACAGCUGCGGCAACCGAACCGCUCGGCUUCCCUCGCCCUGCUGGCGGCAGCGGCACUUCCCCUCGCUCUCGGGCGGCCUCACGGACACGGGCUGCGCGGAGCCACAGCACCGCCUGCUGCCCGCCCGCAGCCCUGAGCCUGCCGUUUCGAUAUCGGUGGCGGAUAGGCAGUAAGAAUUGCGGGCUUUUUUUUUUUUUUUCUUUUCUUUCUUUCCUUUUUUUUUUUUUUUUUGUAAACAAGAGUCAUCACACACACCCAAAGCCCCCAGGUCCGUCUCUCCUCGAGCACCUUGCAGCAAUCUCAUGUGCCGCGACUGCUGGCAGGAGCGGGCCUCUUCCUCAGCCCUUCCUGCCCCGCCCAUGCUGUAGGGAUGGGACUACAGCAUCAGCAGGAGCUGGCUGAACUGAGAGGACAGAAUCAAUUGUGCUUCCUCUCCUAUGGUCCCAGCCACAAAUGCACAGUCUACUAAGGCAGCUUGGGUGCAGUGGGACCUUGGCUCCUCCAAGACCUGGACCACACAAUGGAGGGAGUUGCUGAGAUAGCAUUGCCAUGGCUUGUGAAAGUCAAACAGCACCUUGGGCCUCCCUCCCUCUUCUUACACGCCUGGCCUUGGCUUCUGUACAACCACGCCGGGUUCAGACUCUUCCCUCCAGGUUUGUAGUCUCAUCAUUGAUAGCUUAGACUUGGUCCAUGACAGUCCAGACUUGCAACUUCUGGGACUGCCAUCUGCAUAGUCAUGGAUAUUAAAACCCAAGUUUGCAUAAGCCUAUAUAUAAAUGGCAGUCUUUUCAGGCUUUGCAACCAAGUUCAUGUUUUUGUAUUUCCCCUAACCUCCACCUUUUCUUCCCUACCAGAGUAAAAACUGUUUUAAACACUCCUCCAAAGAAUUCCUGAGCAUGCUGGAAAAAGCUGGAAGAGUUAUUUAGCAUGGGCACUACAGCAUAUUUUUUUCUUGAUCUCACUGUUGGAAGCUACUGAGCCCUUUGUCUUUAAUUAAUACAAAAUAAAUCUGAGGCGGAUAUUUGGCA